AGAAUGGCGCCUGUCACAGUGCGCGUCCAGGUGUCUCUGCAGUACGCCUCUCCAUAGCCACCCGAGCCGGGCUGUAUGGGCUUGGCUAGGCUUAUGUCUCCCGCCCACGCACCGGAGGCGGUGCGGAAAGCACUCCGCGGGCGCGAUUGUCUUCUCCAAGAAAAAAAAAAAGAAAAAAAAAAACAACAUGGCUGCAAAGGAGAAACUGGAGGCAGUGUUAAAUGUGGCCCUGAGGGUGCCAAGCAUCAUGCUGUUGGAUGUCCUGUACAGAUGGGAUGUCAGCUCCUUUUUCCAGCAGAUCCAAAGAAGUAGCCUUAGUAAUAACCCUCUUUUCCAGUAUAAGUAUUUGGCUCUUAAUAUGCAUUAUGUAGGUUAUAUCUUAAGUGUGGUGCUGCUAACAUUGCCCAGGCAGCAUCUGGUUCAGCUUUAUCUAUAUUUUUUGACUGCUCUGCUCCUCUAUGCUGGACAUCAAAUUUCCAGGGACUAUGUUCGGAGUGAACUGGAGUUUGCCUAUGAGGGACCAAUGUAUUUAGAACCUCUCUCUAUGAAUCGGUUUACCACAGCCUUAAUAG
RNAcentral lists this long non-coding RNA (572 nucleotides) under Homo sapiens (human). Its description in RNAcentral is "non-protein coding lnc-EBF1-5:1". Lineage: Eukaryota; Metazoa; Chordata; Mammalia; Primates; Hominidae. The record is from RNAcentral.